CCUGAGAAUGUUUUAUAUGGCAAAAUGAAAGAAAGGAACACACUGUUUCCCUUUUCGUAAUAUGAACCAUCAGCACUCAAGUGAGGCCUAUGUGCCGAAACCUAUGCCCUUCUGGUUUUCUUUCUGAUAUUGUAUGAAGUGACCCGUAUCUCACUUCUGCGUAAAAGACAGUUGAUGAGAAAGACAAAGCUCUUGUUCUUUAGGUGAGUGAUUCAUUGGUUGAUUGCCUAGAGUUUUCCACUUGGGAGCAAAUUCCUUCGGUGGUUUCCAGAGCUUGAAGAGACAUUAGUUUGCUUUUCAAUUUAUAUGACCAUUCUACUGAAUCCAGUGAGCAGCACUCUGCAAUUGUAAUAGCUCUGAUACAUAACUUCACAUUUGGAAUGUAAAGUGCAACCAUUCUUAAUAGUUUGGUUUAAUGGCCACUCUUUUCUUUUUCCUAUG
RNAcentral lists this long non-coding RNA (441 nucleotides) under Bos taurus (domestic cattle). Its description in RNAcentral is "long non-coding RNA NONBTAT024486". The record is from RNAcentral. Lineage: Eukaryota; Metazoa; Chordata; Mammalia; Artiodactyla; Bovidae.